AGCGGCAGAACCCAGACCAUGUCCCAGUACGGGACACUAUUCUCGGAUGCUGAUGUCAGAACAGCAGGUGUACCCCAUGGAUGAAUAAAGAGUUCCAGAGAGCGGCAGAGACCAGACCAUGACCCAGAACGGCACACUGUUCCCGGACAGUGAUGGCAGACCAGCAGGUGUACCGCAUGGAUGAAUAAAGAGCUCCAGAGAGCGGCAGAGACCAGACCAAGUCCCAGAACGACACACUAUUCCCGGACAGUGAUGGCAGAACAGCAGGUGUACCGCAUGGAUGAAUAAAGAGCUCCAGAGAGCGGCAGAUACCAGACCAAGUCCCAGAACGACACACUAUUCCCGGACAGUGAUGGCAGA
Long non-coding RNA from Gasterosteus aculeatus aculeatus (three-spined stickleback), 360 nucleotides. NCBI's taxonomy places the organism in Eukaryota, Metazoa, Chordata, Actinopteri, Perciformes, Gasterosteidae. The record is from Ensembl.